ACGUAGGGAGCGAGCGUUGUCCGGAAUUACUGGGCGUAAAGGGCGUGUAGGCGGGAAUUUAAGUAAGGUGUGAAAACUCCGGGCUCAACUUGGAGACUGCACUUUAAACUGGAUUUCUUGAGGGCAGGAGAGGAAAGUGGAAUUCCUAGUGUAGCGGUGAAAUGCGUAGAUAUUAGGAGGAACACCAGUGGCGAAGGCGACUUUCUGGACUGUACCUGACGCUGAGGCGCGAAAGCGUGGGGAGCGAACAG
Molecule: ribosomal RNA, 251 nt
Filed under: uncultured bacterium
Lineage: Bacteria
Description: partial 16S ribosomal RNA
Rfam family: Bacterial small subunit ribosomal RNA
Source: RNAcentral